RNAcentral lists this ribosomal RNA (373 nucleotides) under uncultured organism. RNAcentral describes it as "partial 16S ribosomal RNA". It matches the Rfam family "Bacterial small subunit ribosomal RNA", at positions 527 to 896 of the family's 1533-position model. The record is from RNAcentral.
GUAGGUGGCAAGCGUUGUCCGGAAUUAUUGGGCGUAAAGCGCGCGCAGGCGGUCCUUUAAGUCUGAUGUGAAAGCCCACGGGCUCAACCGUGGAGGGUCAUUGGAAACUGGGGGACUUGAGUACAGAAGAGGAAAGCGGAAUUCCAAGUGUAGCGGUGAAAUGCGUAGAGAUUUGGAGGAACACCAGUGGCGAAGGCGGCUUUCUGGUCUGUAACUGACGCUGAGGCGCGAAAGCGUGGGGAGCAAGCAGGAUUAGAUACCCUGGUAGUCCACGCCGUAAACGAUGAGUGCUAAGUGUUAGGGGGUUUCCGCCCCUUAGUGCUGCAGCUAACGCAUUAAGCACUCCGCCUGGGGAGUACGGCCGCAAAGGCUG